RNAcentral lists this ribosomal RNA (253 nucleotides) under uncultured bacterium. RNAcentral's name for it is "partial 16S ribosomal RNA". It matches the Rfam family "Bacterial small subunit ribosomal RNA", at positions 524 to 776 of the family's 1533-position model. The record is from RNAcentral.
UACAGGGGGUGCAAACGUUGCUCGGAAUUAUUGGGCGUAAAGCGCGCGUAGGCGGCCACUUAAGUCGGAUGUGAAAGCCCCUGGCUCAACUGGGGAAGUGCACCCGAAACUGAAUGGCUUGAGUGCGAAAGAGGGUCGCGGAAUUCCCGGUGUAGAGGUGAAAUUCGUAGAUAUCGGGAGGAACACCGGUGGCGAAGGCGGCGACCUGGGUCGACACUGACGCUGAGGCGCGAAAGCUAGGGGAGCAAACGGG